UACAGAGGGUGCGAGCGUUGUUCGGAAUUAUUGGGCGUAAAGGGUGCGUAGGUGGUCUUUUAAGUCUGUUGUGAAAUCCCUGGGCUCAACCUGGGAAUGGCAGUGGAUACUGGAAGGCUAGAGUGCGGUAGAGGGUAGUGGAAUUCCCGGUGUAGCAGUGAAAUGCGUAGAGAUCGGGAGGAACACCAGUGGCGAAGGCGGCUACCUGGACCAGCACUGACACUGAGGCACGAAAGCGUGGGGAGCAAACAG
RNAcentral lists this ribosomal RNA (252 nucleotides) under uncultured bacterium. RNAcentral describes it as "partial 16S ribosomal RNA". It matches the Rfam family "Bacterial small subunit ribosomal RNA", at positions 524 to 775 of the family's 1533-position model. The record is from RNAcentral.